UUUCCGUAGGUGAACCUGCGGAAGGAUCAUUACAGAGUUCAUGCCCUCACGGGUAGAUCUCCCACCCUUGAAUAUUUAUACCUUAGUUGCUUUGGCAGGCCGUGGAAACACCAUGGGCUCCGGCUUAUGCGUGCCUGCCAGAGGAAACAAACUCUGUUUUUAGUGAUGUCUGAGUACUAUAUAGUAGUUAAAACUUUCAACAACGGAUCUCUUGGUUCUG
This 220-nucleotide unclassified non-coding RNA is filed under the name plant metagenome. RNAcentral's name for it is "partial contains small subunit ribosomal RNA, internal transcribed spacer 1, and 5.8S ribosomal RNA". The record is from RNAcentral.